Non-coding RNA from Cricetulus griseus (Chinese hamster), 1615 nucleotides. NCBI's taxonomy places the organism in Eukaryota, Metazoa, Chordata, Mammalia, Rodentia, Cricetidae. The record is from RefSeq and is a predicted model, not a curated record.
GGGCCCUCGCGCCUCCUGGUCCCCUUAGGCCUACGCGCCCCCAAGAGGCCUCCCUGGCGUCACGCGCUGCGGCCAGGGUCCCGCCUGUGCCCUCGGGCCUCCAUCUUGGAGGCGAGUUGGCUCCAUCUUGCUGGCGGUGGAAUGCACGCUUGGCUCCCGGCAUGGGCAGCACUUUAUGGCUGCCAGCUGUCUAUAUAUAUAUAUUUUUUUCCCUCUUUAUGACGGGUUCUUUAGUCCUGGGUCGGCUUGAAGUCAUGGCAGUCCUCCUGCCUUAGCCUUCCAGGUAAUAGGAUGAGUCACCUUGCCCAGCCUCCAUUCACCACCGUUAAACUUCGGUGUGCGUGUUUGAGAUGGGGUCCUGCUGUGCAGUUCACGAUAUCCCCGACCUCGUGGCAGUUCCCCCCUGCUUAAGCCUCUCGAGUGCUGUGGUAACAGGCACGAACCAUCUCUUCCUAUUUGUGUUUUCUGACUGGGGAUUGCUGUGCUUUGUAGGGUGGCUUCGAACUCGUGGUGCCUCCCGUUGCUGGUUUUGCAGACCGGCGCCUGCAUAUGGCUAAACCAGUUCUUACCCCGAAAGUGUUAUCUCUUUAUGUUGAAGCAUUUUGGCUAGAGCGUCAACCCGCAGAGUCAGUGCGGUGUCAUCCUUGCAUUCUUAAACCCUCUUGGCGGCUUCGCUCUGGUGCUUCCAAGAUAUGAGUGAAUGCUAGAGAAAUUGCGGGGGAGUCCAAAGGGCUGCGCUCCUCACGUGGUUCAGUCUUAUUUCAUACCUGCGACAUCUUUGAAGAGGUUUAUCGGAGGGAAAUCACAGCACUCUUUUAAACAGCGUGAUCCACCCUUGAAUUUCAAGGCCCCGUUUUCAACAGUCCAAAAGAGCAUUUGUUGGAAUAAUAAGCUUUUUUUUUUUUUUGGUUGUUGUUUUUGUGCUUUGCUUAGGCUGGUCAGCCAGUAGCUGGAGUCACUGUCCAGUCUCUUGGACUUCUUUAAUUAAGCCAUCCUAAAUCACUUUUAACUUUUUCGUAGUUAGAGGUGAUCGGAGAUUUUACCACCUGUUACAGGAGUUCCAGCCUUUUUGAGCCUGCUUGCUCCCGGUAGCCCAUUAUUUUCAUCAUGUGGGGAGAAUUUGUUUUUGUUCAUGGCUAGAUAGAUACAGUAAUGGAAAGAAUGCUGCUUAGAUUCAGACUGCGUUCUGGGACCAGAUUGUUUACUGGAUACCAGUGUCAACUCCAAAUUUUUCAUCAUUGUAAAGUAAGGUGUGUUUCAUCUGAAUGGUGUGUCUAUGUAUAGUGUCUGAAGACAAGGGAUCCGAAGAUGCUUGAGUAGCCGGGCCAUGGUGGUGCAUGCCUUUAAUCCCAGCACUUGGGAAGCAGAGGCCAGUGUGGUCUACAGAUAGAGUGCCAGGAUAGGAUCCAAAGCUACACAAGAGAAACUCUUGUCUCAAGAAACAAACAAAAAGAAUUGACCAAUAGGUCCUUUAGUCUUAUGUUGAGACUUGGAUUCAUAGAGUACUUUAAGGUUUUCAGAGACUUUGAAGUUAGAUUUUCUUGCUUAAUAUUACUCAGUACAUAGAGAGUCCUUCACUUGGAUCACCUUGUUAUUGUCCUGGUAUAGUAUUGAG